GUCCCUGUAGCGCAGGGGAUAGCGCGCUGGACUUCUAAUCCAGAGGCCUUGGGUUCGAAUCCCACCAGGGAUG
This 73-nucleotide transfer RNA is filed under the name Haliotis rufescens (red abalone). RNAcentral's name for it is "tRNA-Arg". It matches the Rfam family "tRNA". Rfam says of the family: Transfer RNA (tRNA) molecules are approximately 80 nucleotides in length. Their secondary structure includes four short double-helical elements and three loops (D, anti-codon, and T loops). Lineage: Eukaryota; Metazoa; Mollusca; Gastropoda; Lepetellida; Haliotidae. The record is from RNAcentral.